Molecule: ribosomal RNA, 1222 nt
Filed under: Singhiella simplex
Lineage: Eukaryota; Metazoa; Arthropoda; Insecta; Hemiptera; Aleyrodidae
Description: rrnL
Source: RNAcentral
CUUUAUUUUAACCCAUCCCACAUUAAAAAAUUUUUAACUAACCACCACAUGUAAAAAAGAAUUAGAAUUGACUUAAUUAAAUUAAAAUAAUCAGAAAUGUAAUAUAAAGAUAAAGACUUUGUAAAAGUAAAAUUUAAAUUUUGUACCUUUUGUAUCAGGGAUAGUUAAAAAUAAGAACCAGAUUUCACCUCUCGAAAUAUAACUAAAUAACGGCAACUUAUCUUGAUGUUUAAUAAUCAUAUAGAAGUUGACGUUGGAUUCCAAACGAAUGCAAGUUUUAAAUAUCUAGUUAUUGGGGAAAUUAAUUUAAUUAAAUGAAAUUUGUAACCAAAACUAAAUUAGAUUAUAAAUUUCUUAAAACCUAGCUAGAUAAGUAUCUAGGUGAAAUAAAUAAGAAAAUUUCAACUUAACCUAAAGUAGAAUUAAAAGUUUUCAUAAAAAACAUGUGUUUAAACAUUAAAACAGUAAUCAAGAUUUAAACAUAAAUUAAUGACCCUACCCAAUCAACAUUCAUAGCCAUAAAAAUUAUAACCCUAUGACUACACUAAUAUACUAAUGAAAUUAUUUUUUAGAACUAGGCAAAAAAAUAUCCAACUGUUUAACAAAAACAUAGUUUAAGGAAAAAAUCUUAAAUAAAGCCUGCUCAAUGAGAAAUUAAAUAGCUGCAGUAAACUAACUGUACUAAGGUAGCAUAAUAAUUUGCUCUUCAAUUAAGAGCUGGAAUGAAUGGUUAAAUGAGAAAUUAACUUUUAACAUUAUAAUAAGUAAAACCUAACUUUUGAGUCAAAAGUCUCAAAUAAACUCAAUAGACAAGAAGACCCUUUAGAAUUUUACAAGACGUGUAAUUCAGCAAAUUAAACAAGCUUGUUAGAUUGGGGAGAUCACAAAAAUCAAACUCUUUUGUUAAUUAAAGACAGCCUAAACCUGAUAAAUUAAAUUAUCCAAAAAUGAAAAAUCAAAUUACCUAAGGGAUAACAGCGUAAAAUGCUUAAAGAGAUCUCAUCAAUAAGCUAAGUUACGACCUCGAUGUUGGAUUAAGAAUAUAGCAUAAAGCAGGAAUUAUGCAAAGUGGUCUGUUCGACCAAUAACUUCUUACAUGAUCUGAGUUCAGACCGGCGUAAGCCAGGUCAGUUUAUAUCUUUGAACCAAAAAUUAUUUUUAGUACGAAAGGACUUAAAUAAUUGAAAUUCAUCAUUAGUUAAGUUAGCAUAAUCAAUGCGCU